This 204-nucleotide non-coding RNA is filed under the name Bacillota bacterium. RNAcentral describes it as "Firmicutes bacterium (gut metagenome) 6S RNA". It matches the Rfam family "6S / SsrS RNA". From Rfam's summary of the family: E. coli 6S RNA was the first non coding RNA to be sequenced, but its function was unknown until recently. It consists of 184 nucleotides that fold into an extended hairpin structure with a large single-stranded internal bulge. The 6S RNA specifically associates with RNA polymerase holoenzyme containing the sigma70 specificity factor. Lineage: Bacteria; Bacillati; Bacillota. The record is from RNAcentral.
AAUUUCCUGCCUGGUGCGUGGACUGUUGCAUCAAUAACCCUACAAAUCAUAAUUCGGGAGCUUUUCUCCGGCGGCAGACUGCAGACCUCCCGGCCCGGCGUUCACCGGGUUGGAUGAAGGGAGUGGGAACCCGUUGGGAGGGCACCCACCUGUUUACUCCAGUAGGCAGGUUAUUUUAUGCACUUACGGCCAGGCGGGGUUACU